GAUGAACGCUGGCGGCGUGCCUAAUACAUGCAAGUCGAGCGAACGGACGAGAAGCUUGCUUCUCUGAUGUUAGCGGCGGACGGGUGCGUAACACGUGGAUAACCUACCUAUAAGACUGGGAUAACUUCGGGAAACCGGAGCUAAUACCGGAUAAUAUUUUGAACCGCAUGGUUCAAAAGUGAAAGACGGUCUUGCUGUCACUUAUAGAUGGAUCCGCGCUGCAUUAGCUAGUUGGUAAGGUAACGGCUUACCAAGGCAACGAUGCAUAGCCGACCUGAGAGGGUGAUCGGCCACACUGGAACUGAGACACGGUCCAGACUCCUACGGGAGGCAGCAGUAGGAAAUCUUCCGCAAUGGGCGAAAGCCUGACGGAGCAACGCCGCGUGAGUGAUGAAGGUCUUCGGAUCGUAAAACUCUGUUAUUAGGGAAGAACAUAUGUGUAAGUAACUGUGCACAUCUUGACGGUACCUAAUCAGAAAGCCACGGCUAACUACGUG
This 497-nucleotide ribosomal RNA is filed under the name uncultured bacterium. RNAcentral describes it as "partial 16S ribosomal RNA". It matches the Rfam family "Bacterial small subunit ribosomal RNA", at positions 28 to 507 of the family's 1533-position model. The record is from RNAcentral.